Molecule: non-coding RNA, 871 nt
Organism: Phascolarctos cinereus (koala)
Lineage: Eukaryota; Metazoa; Chordata; Mammalia; Diprotodontia; Phascolarctidae
Source: RefSeq, a predicted model, not a curated record
UCGUCCAGGCGCAGUCCCCGCGAUCGUCCGUGGGAAAGGGGGUCGGGAAACAGACCCCAGCAGGAAGGGAAGCAGCUCCAAGUGCCCUGACCAGCUUCCAUUGAUCAGAUAAUCUCCUGUCUCCAAAUAGAAGUGGGCUUUCUUUCAUUCCUCAAUAUAGAUAAACAUUGAGAAAACUGAGGCUAACAGAAUUUAAAGGACUUGUUCAUGAUAACACAACUAGUAAAUGUCUGAGGACAAAUACAUGAGAAAAAGACACACGAUUUGUAAAGAAACAUGAAGAUGAUCACAAUGACAAUAAACCCAGAAAUGGUUCCUGCUCACUGAGGGCUCACAAUCUAAACUUAGACUGAAGAAUGCUGCUGUUGACAGAAGGGAGAUUCCCAGUCUUACUGCUCCUCUGUAAAUGUGUCCAGAUUCCUCCCAAGGCACAAUGAUACUCACAUAUGUUACCCACUCCUCCCACCCCUCAAUCAUGGGAAAAAAAGUUCAACAACAUGAUGCAAGUGGUCCAGUAAUGUCCAUGUUUUCUGUAAUGCUGGCCGGGUGUCUAGGGUGAUUACUGAAAGCUAUUGGGGUGGUUUAUGAGAGCCGACACUUCCUGCUCAGCUUUUAUCAGCCACUGAGCAGUUAUCGUUAACAGGCUGCUCUGUACCAUAGUUGAUGUGACUGUUGUAAAUACCACUACGGUGCAGGCUAAUCAUGCUUCAUAAAAAAAGUAAGCAAGAGGCACUGAGCAGCUAACCCAAGACGCUCGCUGACCCAGCACUGCGGAAAAAGGUGUGGGAGAGGGAGGAAAGAGAUGAUCCUAUCUCUGUCCAACUUUCCACCACCCCUUCCCACUCCGCCCCAUGCUUUGCUGCCCUCCAGG